AACUGGGCGGAUGACCUGUGGGUCGGAGUGAAAGGCUAAUCAAGCUCAGUGAUAUCUGGUUCUCUCCGAAAUAUAUUUAGGUAUAGCCUCGGAUAAAUUCCGUGGCGGCCGUAGAGCACUGUUUGGACUAGGGGCCCUACCAGGUUACCGAAUUCAGGCAAACUCCGAAGACCGUCACGGCUACUCCGGGAGUCAGUUGCUGGGGGAUAAACUUCAGCGUCAAGAGGGAAACAGCCCAGACCGCCAGCUAAGGUCCCUAAGUACUAGCUAAGUGGUAAACGAUGUUCGAGUGCAUAGACAACCAGGAGGUUGGCUUAGAGGCAGCCACCCUUGAAAGAGUGCGUAACAGCUCACUGGUCAAGUGUUCGAGCGCGGACAAUGUAACGGGGCUCAAGCUAGUCACCGAAGCUGCGGGUGCGAUAUUUAUAUCGCGCGGUAGGAGAGCGUUCCCAGGGCAGUGAAGCGGCGGGGUAACCCAGCCGUGGAGGCCUGGGAAGUGAGAAUGCCGGCAUGAGUAACGAAAGAAGGGUGAGAAUCCCUUCCACCGAUUGCCCAAGGAUUCCUGAGUAAAGUUCGUCUGCUCAGGGUUAGUCAGGACCUAAGGCGAGGCCGAAAGGCGUAGUCGAUGGCCAACGGGUUGAUAUUCCCGUACCACGUCGCGUUCGUUUGACCGAUGGGGGGACGAGGAAGGCUAUGGGAGCCCAGGCGAUAGUUGUCCUGGGGUAAGCGUGUAGGGGUGGUUCUAGGCAAAUCCGGAACCGCAUUAACCUGAGACGCGAUGCCAGCUGGCUUUAAGCCGGCGAGUCCCGGACGCCAAGCCUCCAAGAAAAGCCUCUAGGGAGAACGCGCGUGCCUGUACCAAAACCGACACAGGUGGGCAAGUGGAGAACACUAAGGUGAUCGAGAUAACCCUCGUUAAGGAACUCGGCAAAAUCGCCCCGUAACUUCGGGAUAAGGGGCGCCCCAGUAGGGUGAAGCACUUCGCGUGUGGAGCCUGAGAGGGCCGCAGUGAAUAGGUUCAAGCGACUGUUUACCAAAAACACAGGUCUCUGCUAAGUCGUAAGACGACGUAUAGGGGCUGACGCCUGCCCGGUGCCGGAAGGUUACGUGGAGGUGUUAGGCGCAAGCCGAAGCACCGAAACUAAGCCCCGGUAAACGGCGGCCGUAACUAUAACGGUCCUAAGGUAGCGAAAUUCCUUGUCGGGUAAGUUCCGACCUGCACGAAUGGCGUAACGACUUGAACGCUGUCUCAACGAGGGGCUCGGUGAAAUUGCAGUCUCGGUGAAGAUGCCGAGUACCCGCGGCUAGACGGAAAGACCCCGUGAACCUUUACUACAACUUGGUAUUGGGGUUCGAUGCACUUCGCUCAGGAUAGGUGGGAGCCUUGGAAGCACCGACUGCGGUCGGUGUGGAGGCAACCUUGAGAUACCACCCUUGGUGUAUUGGAUCUCUAACCGCACGCCGUGAAUCCGGGUGCGGAACAGUGACAGGUGGGUAGUUUGACUGGGGCGGUCGCCUCCCAAAAUGUAACGGAGGCGCGCAAAGGUUCCCUCAGCACGGUCGGAAAUCGUGCGUAGAGUGUAAAGGCAGUAAGGGAGCUUGACUGCGAGACAGACAUGUCGAGCAGGUACGAAAGUAGGCCUUAGUGAUCCGGCGGUAGCAAGUGGAAGCGCCGUCGCUCAACGGACAAAAGGUACUCCGGGGAUAACAGGCUUAUCGGGCCCAAGAGUCCACAUCGACGGCCCGGUUUGGCACCUCGAUGUCGGCUCGUCGCAUCCUGGGGCUGAAGUAGGUCCCAAGGGUUGGGCUGUUCGCCCAUUAAAGCGGUAC
RNAcentral lists this ribosomal RNA (1830 nucleotides) under metagenome. Its description in RNAcentral is "bacterial LSU rRNA". It matches the Rfam family "Bacterial large subunit ribosomal RNA", at positions 794 to 2599 of the family's 2925-position model. The record is from RNAcentral.